This 497-nucleotide ribosomal RNA is filed under the name uncultured bacterium. RNAcentral describes it as "partial 16S ribosomal RNA". It matches the Rfam family "Bacterial small subunit ribosomal RNA", at positions 28 to 507 of the family's 1533-position model. The record is from RNAcentral.
GAUGAACGCUGGCGGCGUGCCUAAUACAUGCAAGUCGAGCGAACAGACGAGGAGCUUGCUCCUUUGACGUUAGCGGCGGACGGGUGAGUAACACGUAGAUAACCUACCUAUAAGACUGGGAUAACUUCGGGAAACCGGAGCUAAUACCGGCUAAUAUUUCGAACCGCAUGGUUCAAUAGUGAAAGAUGGCUUUGCUAUCACUUAUAGAUGGACCUGCGCCGUAUUAGCUAGUUGGUAAGGUAACGGCUUACCAAGGCAACGAUACGUAGCCGACCUGAGAGGGUGAUCGGCCACACUGGAACUGAGACACGGUCCAGACUCCUACGGGAGGCAGCAGUAGGGAAUCUUCCGCAAUGGGCGAAAGCCUGACGGAGCAACGCCGCGUGAGUGAUGAAGGUCUUCGGAUCGUAAAACUCUGUUAUUAGGGAAGAACAAACGUGUAAGUAACUGUGCACGUCUUGACGGUACCUAAUCAGAAAGCCACGGCUAACUACGUG